Molecule: microRNA precursor, 100 nt
Filed under: Procavia capensis (Cape rock hyrax)
Lineage: Eukaryota; Metazoa; Chordata; Mammalia; Hyracoidea; Procaviidae
Description: miRNA (ENSPCAG00000020454.1)
Source: RNAcentral
UAAUAUGUAGGUGACUGCUCCCCACCUUAAUAACCUCAGUAAGUAUGUGUUGGAGCCCAGGAAUCUGUAUUUUACCAACACUCCAGGUGAUUCUGAAUAU